GUCCAGACUCCUACGGGAGGCAGCAGUGAGGAAUAUUGGUCAAUGGGCGGGGGCCUGAACCAGCCAAGCCGCGUGAAGGAAGAAGGCGCCAAGCGUCGUAAACUUCUUUUGUCGGGGAACAAAGGGCGCCACGUGUGGCGUUGUGAGUGUACCCGAAGAAAAAGCAUCGGCUAACUCCGUGCCAGCAGCCGCGGUAAUACGGAGGAUGCGAGCGUUAUCCGGAUUUAUUGGGUUUAAAGGGUGCGUAGGCGGAACGCAAAGCCAGCGGUAAAUUCGCGGGGCUCAACCUCGCUCCGCCGUUGAAACUGGCGGGCUGGAGUUGGAGAGAAGUACGCGGAAUGCGCGGUGUAGCGGUGAAAUGCUUAGAUAUCGCGCAGAACCCCGAUUGCGAAGGCAGCGUACCGGCUCCACACUGACGCUGAGGCACGAAAGCGUGGGUAUCGAACAGGAUUAGAUACCCGCGUA
This 465-nucleotide ribosomal RNA is filed under the name uncultured bacterium. RNAcentral's name for it is "bacterial SSU rRNA". It matches the Rfam family "Bacterial small subunit ribosomal RNA", at positions 329 to 792 of the family's 1533-position model. The record is from RNAcentral.